RNAcentral lists this ribosomal RNA (1372 nucleotides) under Klebsiella pneumoniae. RNAcentral's name for it is "bacterial LSU rRNA". It matches the Rfam family "Bacterial large subunit ribosomal RNA", at positions 1576 to 2925 of the family's 2925-position model. Lineage: Bacteria; Pseudomonadati; Pseudomonadota; Gammaproteobacteria; Enterobacterales; Enterobacteriaceae. The record is from RNAcentral.
ACUACGGUGCUGAAGUAACAAAUGCCCUGCUUCCAGGAAAAGCCUCUAAGCAUCAGGUAACAUCAAAUCGUACCCCAAACCGACACAGGUGGUCAGGUAGAGAAUACCAAGGCGCUUGAGAGAACUCGGGUGAAGGAACUAGGCAAAAUGGUGCCGUAACUUCGGGAGAAGGCACGCUGGUGUGUAGGUGAAGUCCCUGCGGAUGGAGCUGAGACCAGUCGAAGAUACCAGCUGGCUGCAACUGUUUAUUAAAAACACAGCACUGUGCAAACACGAAAGUGGACGUAUACGGUGUGACGCCUGCCCGGUGCCGGAAGGUUAAUUGAUGGGGUUAUCCGUAAGGAGAAGCUCUUGAUCGAAGCCCCGGUAAACGGCGGCCGUAACUAUAACGGUCCUAAGGUAGCGAAAUUCCUUGUCGGGUAAGUUCCGACCUGCACGAAUGGCGUAAUGAUGGCCAGGCUGUCUCCACCCGAGACUCAGUGAAAUUGAACUCGCUGUGAAGAUGCAGUGUACCCGCGGCAAGACGGAAAGACCCCGUGAACCUUUACUAUAGCUUGACACUGAACAUUGAGCCUUGAUGUGUAGGAUAGGUGGGAGGCUUUGAAGCGUGGACGCCAGUCUGCGUGGAGCCAACCUUGAAAUACCACCCUUUAAUGUUUGAUGUUCUAACGUUGGCCCCUUACCGGGGUUGCGGACAGUGUCUGGUGGGUAGUUUGACUGGGGCGGUCUCCUCCCAAAGCGUAACGGAGGAGCACGAAGGUUAGCUAAUCCUGGUCGGACAUCAGGAGGUUAGUGCAAUGGCAUAAGCUAGCUUGACUGCGAGCGUGACGGCGCGAGCAGGUGCGAAAGCAGGUCAUAGUGAUCCGGUGGUUCUGAAUGGAAGGGCCAUCGCUCAACGGAUAAAAGGUACUCCGGGGAUAACAGGCUGAUACCGCCCAAGAGUUCAUAUCGACGGCGGUGUUUGGCACCUCGAUGUCGGCUCAUCACAUCCUGGGGCUGAAGUAGGUCCCAAGGGUAUGGCUGUUCGCCAUUUAAAGUGGUACGCGAGCUGGGUUUAGAACGUCGUGAGACAGUUCGGUCCCUAUCUGCCGUGGGCGCUGGAGAAUUGAGGGGGGCUGCUCCUAGUACGAGAGGACCGGAGUGGACGCAUCACUGGUGUUCGGGUUGUCAUGCCAAUGGCACUGCCCGGUAGCUAAAUGCGGAAGAGAUAAGUGCUGAAAGCAUCUAAGCACGAAACUUGCCCCGAGAUGAGUUCUCCCUGAGACUUUAAGUCUCCUGAAGGAACGUUGAAGACGACGACGUUGAUAGGCCGGGUGUGUAAGCGCAGCGAUGCGUUGAGCUAACCGGUACUAAUGAACCGUGAGGCUUAACC